Molecule: long non-coding RNA, 722 nt
Organism: Anguilla rostrata (American eel)
Lineage: Eukaryota; Metazoa; Chordata; Actinopteri; Anguilliformes; Anguillidae
Exons: 2
Source: RefSeq, a predicted model, not a curated record
ACGGGGUUUUAUUUUACUGCUUUAUUGUCCCGGGCCGCGAUGGUGGAGUCCCGGAGCCGCGCUCUUCCUUAAUCUUCUCACUGCGAUAUCUGGGGUUGAAGAAGCUUGUGUUGGGUCUCUCGGGCAGUGUGUGUGAUGUAUAUCAGCAGUGUGUGUGGUGUAUAUCAGCAGUGUGUGUGGUGUAUAUCAGCAGUGUGUGUGAUGUAUAUCGGCAGUGUGUGUGAUGUAUAUCAGCACAGUGUGUGUGAUGUAUAUCAGCAGUGUGUGUGUGAUGUAUAUCCGCAGUGUGUGUGAUGUUUAUGAGCGGUUAAGGGGGCUGGCUGAGGACAGCCUGAUCGCUGGGGAUGAAAGGCCUCGCUUCAGGGCUUUGAAAGCCAGUUACUGUAAAAUGGAGGCCGUGAUCUCUGUAGCGGCUCGAGUCUCGCCAAAGCUCGACGGGCGGCGGGCAGAUGUGGCCCGAAAGACGACGGGUAACGGCGGGAGCCGUUUCGACUCCACGCGGAUGCGCUUAACGUUCAUUGGCCGGACUGAACUCUGGGAUGGCGGGAGACCCAGGCGAAGGCUCUGUUUCCCGCGCGACGCUGGGCUUUCGCGGAGAGGGGCGGGAUCAGCUGCGGCCGUUUAAUUACUACUCCUUUUCGAUUUCUUUGAACGUUUAUUUGAGUAGUCGUUCCUGACGCCGUAGUGCCCCUCCAAGCUUCUGAGACCGUGCGCAAUGCCUC